Orbicella faveolata is the source of this 1529-nucleotide long non-coding RNA. RefSeq lists it as uncharacterized. The record is from RefSeq and is a predicted model, not a curated record. Lineage: Eukaryota; Metazoa; Cnidaria; Anthozoa; Scleractinia; Merulinidae.
AACAAUUGCCUAUACGACGAGGCUCCGUCCGAAAGGGGUGCCCUUUUCAGGCUUCAAGUACGUAUAUAACAGGGAAGGGAUUUCACAAGUUUAGUUAUAUGAAAGGUAAGGCAACUCUGCCAUUUAGUUACUUUCAAGAGUCUUAAUUUAAAAUAUUUUGAACUGACGCACCUAAUAUGGCGUAUCAUUUCAUUUAUUAGGCACUACAUGAAAAUGACAAGAAGGCUUCCUUUUUUGACGACGUAUUCAUAGUACGUGCCAGUUACGAAAGUAUCAGCGUGAAGUGGGUACGUUUUUUCUGUUAAAGAUAUACGCAAGGGAUAUGUAUACCUUUUCAGUCAAAAUGGACCUCGCGGCGUAGUUUAUUCGUGUAAAACUUUGUAGACUACCCCCUCCCUCCGGGGAGGGGAGUGCAGCAUAACACGGAGGGGAAAUGUUAAAGCAAGCGACUAUGAUCUGUCUCUUGGUUAAAGGUAACCAUAAAAAAAUUCAUUCACUUCAUUACUAGCUCGAUACCGUACUGUACGGGUCCGCAAAUGAUGGACGAAUAUUCCUUUGUUCAUUUCUGUAUGGACUUGUUUCGCUCUGUCCCGCCGUAUCAGAUCGAUAGACCCCAGGGAUAGACCUCGGACAUUUUCGUAAGUUUUGGGUGGAGAAAAAACUGAGAAAAUGUUGUUAGAUGGAGCCCGUUUCUGUGGAAAAAUGUGCAUGUAAUCAAAACAAAUUCGCGCGCUUUUUUCACAAUUUGCAUUUGACCGAUUGUAACACUUUUUAUGCAAAUUAAUUUAUUCAUGACAACUUGCACGUGACUAGCUUUCCUUCGUCAAACCACGUUUCGCUGGAAAACGUCGCCGAAAUGGAGUGGGGAAAGCGUUUUUUGCUUCACUACACACACAGUUGGAAAGUUGGAACGACUUGAAUAGACUCGUAGUUUGUGAGAGAAACGCUGUUAACAGUUUGGAAGACAACCUUUAGUUUGAGGGUAGUUUGACAAGCAAAUGGCUUUCCUCGAACGCAAGGAGUUUGCAGCAAGCAAAUUCGUGAAGCUUCUGGAGUGUUUCACCAGUGGUUACUUGAUCAACUCACCAAGGACUGGAAAAGAACUACAUGUAGCCAGUAGGUGUAGUUGACUGCAAUGAUGAUAGAAUAACUCACAAAGUAUUGGAAAAGAGAAAUGGCCUCUUUAUAGCAAUUGGCUCAAAGCCAUUGACCUGAACCAGAGGAGUUCACGUUACGAGUAAAACAAAGAAAUGUUGAAAUAAAAAGUCUUGAAUAGUCUAAGUUCUGAUCUCGUUUGGAGCAGUGUUUCCUUAACUCGUCAGCUCGUCGCGAAAAACUUCGAAGAAAAAACAAAGUCUUUUGGCGGGAAAAAGUUCGCGCUUUUAAAAGGGACCAAGAAACAAAGUCGAAAAAAAAAAACUAAGUCUUUUGGCAGGAAAAAGUUCGCGCUUUUUAAAGGAGCCAAGAGAAAAAGUCGAAAAAACAAAACUAAGUCUUUUGGUGGGAAAAAGUUUGCGCUUUUAAAAGGG